UACGUAGGGGGCUAGCGUUGUCCGGAAUCAUUGGGCGUAAAGCGCGUGUAGGCGGUCCGGUAAGUCCGCUGUGAAAGUCGGGGGCUCAACCCUCGGAUGCCGGUGGAUACUGUCGGGCUAGAGUGCGGAAGAGGCGAGUGGAAUUCCUGGUGUAGCGGUGAAAUGCGCAGAUAUCAGGAGGAACACCAAUUGCGAAGGCAGCUCGCUGGGACGUUACUGACGCUGAGACGCGAAAGCGUGGGGAGCAAACAGG
RNAcentral lists this ribosomal RNA (253 nucleotides) under uncultured bacterium. RNAcentral's name for it is "partial 16S ribosomal RNA". It matches the Rfam family "Bacterial small subunit ribosomal RNA", at positions 524 to 776 of the family's 1533-position model. The record is from RNAcentral.